This 447-nucleotide ribosomal RNA is filed under the name uncultured bacterium. Its description in RNAcentral is "partial 16S ribosomal RNA". It matches the Rfam family "Bacterial small subunit ribosomal RNA", at positions 29 to 523 of the family's 1533-position model. The record is from RNAcentral.
AACGAACGCUGGCAGCAGGCCUAACACAUGCAAGUCGAACGCACCGCAAGGUGAGUGGCGCACGGGUGAGUAACACGUGGGAAUGUACCCUUUGGUUCGGAAUAACGUUUGGAAACGAACGCUAAUACCGGAUGAGCCCUACGGGGGAAAGAUUUAUCGCCAAAGGAGCAGCCCGCGUCUGAUUAGGUAGUUGGUGGGGUAAAGGCCUACCAAGCCGACGAUCAGUAGCUGGUCUGAGAGGAUGAUCAGCCACACUGGGACUGAGACACGGCCCAGACUCCUGCGGGAGGCAGCAGUGGGGAAUAUUGGACAAUGGGCGCAAGCCUGAUCCAGCCAUGCCGCGUGAGUGAUGAAGGCCUUCGGGUUGUAAAGCUCUUUCGCACACGACGAUGAUGACGGUAGUGUGAGAAGAAGCCCCGGCUAACUUCGUGCCAGCCGCCGCCGUAA